Molecule: ribosomal RNA, 214 nt
Filed under: uncultured bacterium
Lineage: Bacteria
Description: partial 16S ribosomal RNA
Rfam family: Bacterial small subunit ribosomal RNA
Source: RNAcentral
UCGGAAUUUGCCCAGUCGUGGGGAUAACGUAGGGAAACUUACGCUAAUACCGCAUACGACGGUGACGUGAAAGCGGGGGAUCAGCAAUGACCUCGCGCGAGUGGAUGAGCCGAUGUCGGAUUAGCUAGUUGGCGGGGUAAAGGCCCACCAAGGCGACGAUCCGUAGCUGGUCUGAGAGGAUGAUCAGCCACACUGGAACUGAGACACGGUCCAG